This 73-nucleotide transfer RNA is filed under the name Cronartium ribicola 11-2. Its description in RNAcentral is "tRNA-Val (TAC) (tRNA-Val-TAC-2-1)". It matches the Rfam family "tRNA". Rfam says of the family: Transfer RNA (tRNA) molecules are approximately 80 nucleotides in length. Their secondary structure includes four short double-helical elements and three loops (D, anti-codon, and T loops). Further hydrogen bonds mediate the characteristic L-shaped molecular structure. tRNAs have two regions of fundamental functional importance: the anti-codon, which is responsible for specific mRNA codon recognition, and the 3' end, to which the tRNAs corresponding amino acid is attached (by aminoacyl-tRNA synthetases). tRNAs cope with the degeneracy of the genetic code in two manners: having more than one tRNA (with a specific anti-codon) for a particular amino acid; and 'wobble' base-pairing, i.e. permitting non-standard base-pairing at the 3rd anti-codon position. Lineage: Eukaryota; Fungi; Basidiomycota; Pucciniomycetes; Pucciniales; Coleosporiaceae. The record is from RNAcentral.
GACUGGAUAGCCUAGUGGUAAAGGCAUCACAUUUACAAUGUGGAGGUCCCAGGUUCAAAUCCUGGUCUAGUCA